This is a small nuclear RNA of Benincasa hispida (wax gourd), 100 nucleotides long. Lineage: Eukaryota; Viridiplantae; Streptophyta; Magnoliopsida; Cucurbitales; Cucurbitaceae. The record is from RefSeq and is a predicted model, not a curated record.
GUCCCUUUAGGGACAUCUGAUGAAAUUGGAACGAUAUAGAGAAGAUCAUAGUCCUUGUAAAAGGAUUGUGUGCGAGAAUUGAAAGCCAAUCGUAGAUGUU